Molecule: ribosomal RNA, 252 nt
Filed under: uncultured bacterium
Lineage: Bacteria
Description: partial 16S ribosomal RNA
Rfam family: Bacterial small subunit ribosomal RNA
Source: RNAcentral
UACGUAGGUCCCGAGCGUUGUCCGGAUUUAUUGGGCGUAAAGCGAGCGCAGGUGGUUUAUUAAGUCUGGUGUAAAAGGCAGUGGCUCAACCAUUGUAUGCAUUGGAAACUGGUAGACUUGAGUGCAGGAGAGGAGAGUGGAAUUCCAUGUGUAGCGGUGAAAUGCGUAGAUAUAUGGAGGAACACCGGUGGCGAAAGCGGCUCUCUGGCCUGUAACUGACACUGAGGUACAAAAGCGUGGGGAGCAAACAGG